UUUUUUUUUUUUUAAUUGUUUCUCUAUUAACCUGAAUUUUGAUUUAUUUUAUUUUAUUUUUUGUUAUAGGCUCGUGCUUUAAAGUUUCGGACUGCUGUACUAACCAAAAAAAAAAAACUUAAAAAAAAAAUUAAAAUUUGAGAUAACUAAAAGGCAAUUUUGAAAAAAAUAAAAUAACAAAUUGAACAAUCUUCUUUGUUUUUUCACCUAUAAGCUUAGCAUUUUAUACUUUACCUAAUUUUUUGUUUUUGAAUGUUAUCAUGCCACGCACUAUACAAUUGCCUUUCUCUUAAUUCUUUUUUGAAAGUUAUCAUGCCACGCACUAUACAUUUGCCUUUCUCUUAAUUUUUUUUUGAAAAGCCUUUAUAUAAGGUUGCAACCUUAAAAUGUAAAAUUACACCUCAAAAAUCUAUCUGAAAAUGCUGUUUUAAUGUUGAAAAACCCUGCAAUUGAUCAUCUCGACAUCGAGAUGUAUGAUAUGAAAGAAAAAAAAGAUUUGACUACUAGAAAUAGUAUAUCUUGUAAUAUAUUAUUUAGACCGUCUAUUUUCAAGAUUUUCCAUAUGUUUAUUGAUCUAUUUGAUUUUAGUAAUUCUUUUAGUUUAAAAUGUUAUAACUUAAGUAUAAAUAUAGAUUUUUAGAUAAUUUAAAUAACGUUUUACACUAAAAUUAUAUGAUAAAAUUUGAAAAUACAUUUUAAUUAGAUUAUUUAAGGUUGGAACCUUAUAGAAACCACACCCUUUCUUUUUUGAUUUAGUCAAAUCUCGAGGCACCCUUUCUUUUUUGAUUUAGUCAAAUCUCGAGGCCUCAUAAAAAAAAGCUUUCGUGGUUUGGCACUCGAGCACUCGUAAACAACAUUCAUCCUCUAUUCUUGUUAAGAAAUAGGAAAAUUAGUGGUAGGGCUGGCAAUGGGCGGGGCCCCAAAACUGAGAGCUUGGGCAUUUCCUCUUUGGCCUAGUUGUUUUUCUAUUUUAUUUAUUUUUGAUGUGGCCCGGCUUUAAGAAGUUACAGCCGGUCCUAUUGAGCAAGGGUAGGGCCAAAGCUAACGAUGACCGAGCCCUUAACUAAUAGUGGGUUGGUUCCUCUCCUUUUCUAUUAGGUAAUAGGCCAAAGGUAGGGCCAAGGCUAAUGAGUUGGUUACUCUUCUUUUCUAUUGGGUAAGUGGGUCAUGCAAAAGCCAAGAUUGUCAAAACCUAAAUACAUCAUUGAAUGUUCAAAAAUGUAUCAUCACAUACAUCCAAAGCAUAAAUAACAAUUAAAUUGGGUGAUCAUAAAUAAAUGCCGUGUUUUGUCCAACUUGGGGUAUACAAUGAGGCCAUUGACAUUUACUCUAUGUAAAAAGAGAAAGUUCAGUUUUUCUAUUUUUUAUUUUUUAUUUUUUUUUCUUUUGAAGUUGAUCAAUAAAAUAUAUGAAACCUAUUAAUUUUACAUUUAAUGGUCAAAAUUAAGUGUGACGACUUUGUAAUGGAUGGUCUCGAUAUGUACUGGCACAAGAGACCACCAGUAAGGACCAAUUUCGUGGGUUUCGCUUGGAACACAUGUCGCCUCCUAGUUCAGGUGGCCCCAUUU
Molecule: long non-coding RNA, 1568 nt
Filed under: Amborella trichopoda
Lineage: Eukaryota; Viridiplantae; Streptophyta; Magnoliopsida; Amborellales; Amborellaceae
Description: long non-coding RNA (ATRI_LNC005017)
Source: RNAcentral